This 460-nucleotide ribosomal RNA is filed under the name uncultured bacterium. Its description in RNAcentral is "partial 16S ribosomal RNA". It matches the Rfam family "Bacterial small subunit ribosomal RNA", at positions 338 to 795 of the family's 1533-position model. The record is from RNAcentral.
CCUACGGGUGGCAGCAGUGAGGAAUAUUGGUCAAUGGGCGCGAGCCUGAACCAGCCAAGUAGCGUGAAGGAUGACUGCCCUACGGGUUGUAAACUUCUUUUAUAAAGGAAUAAAGUGCGGCACGUGUGCCCUUUUGUAUGUACUUUAUGAAUAAGGAUCGGCUAACCCCGUGCCAGCAGCCGCGGUAAUACGGAGGAUCCGAGCGUUAUCCGGAUUUAUUGGGUUUAAAGGGAGCGUAGAUGGGUUGUUGAGUCAGUUGUGAAAGUUUGCGGCUCAACCGUAGAAUUGCAGUUGAUACUGGCAGCCUAGAGUACGGUAGAGGUAGGCGGAAUUCGUGGUGUAGCGGUGAAAUGCUUAGAUAUCACGAAGAACUCCGAUUGCGAAGGCAGCCUGCUAGACAGAGACUGACGUUGAGGUGCGAAAGUGUGGGUAUCAAACAGGAUUAGAUACCCGUGUAGUC